RNAcentral lists this ribosomal RNA (253 nucleotides) under uncultured bacterium. Its description in RNAcentral is "partial 16S ribosomal RNA". It matches the Rfam family "Bacterial small subunit ribosomal RNA", at positions 524 to 776 of the family's 1533-position model. The record is from RNAcentral.
UACGAAGGGUGCAAGCGUUACUCGGAAUUACUGGGCGUAAAGCGUGCGUAGGCGGUUUGUUAAGUCCGCUGUGAAAGCCCUGGGCUCAACCUGGGAAUUGCAGUGGAUACUGGCAAGCUAGAGUGCGGUAGAGGAUGGUGGAAUUCCCGGUGUAGCGGUGAAAUGCGUAGAUACUGGGAGGAACACCGGUGGCGAAGGCGGCUACCUGGACCGGAACUGACGCUGAGGCGCGAAAGCGUGGGUAGCAAACAGG